AACGAACGCUGGCGGCAUGCCUAACACAUGCCAGUCGAACGAGACCUUCGGGUCUAGUGGCGCCCGGGUGUGUAACGCGUGGGAAGCUGCCCUUAGGUUCGGAAUAACUCCCCGAAAGGGGUGCUAAUACCGGAUAAUGUCUUCGGACCAAAGAUUUAUCGCCUUUGGAUGGGCCCUCGUUGGAUUAGCUAGUUGGUAGGGUAAAAGCCUACCAAGGCGACGAUCCAUAGCUGGUCUGAGAGGAUGAUCAGCCACACUGGGACUGAGACACGGCCCAGACUCUUACGGGAUGCAGCAGUGGGGAACAUUGGACAAUGGGCGAAAGCCUGAUCCAGCAAUGCCGCGUGAGUGAUGAAGGCCUUAGGGUUGUAAAGCUCUUUUACCCGGGAUGAUAAUGACAGUACCGGGAGAAUAAGCUCCGGCUAACUCCGUG
Molecule: ribosomal RNA, 433 nt
Filed under: uncultured bacterium
Lineage: Bacteria
Description: partial 16S ribosomal RNA
Rfam family: Bacterial small subunit ribosomal RNA
Source: RNAcentral